GGUGGGUUGGCAGAGCGGUCUAAUGCGGCACGGUGCUAACGUGUUAAGGGGAUUAAACCCCUUCAGAGGUUCAAAUCCUCUACCCACCGCCA
This 92-nucleotide transfer RNA is filed under the name Candidatus Liptonbacteria bacterium. RNAcentral describes it as "tRNA-Ser". It matches the Rfam family "tRNA". Rfam says of the family: Transfer RNA (tRNA) molecules are approximately 80 nucleotides in length. Their secondary structure includes four short double-helical elements and three loops (D, anti-codon, and T loops). Lineage: Bacteria; Candidatus Liptoniibacteriota. The record is from RNAcentral.